AUACCUUUCUCGGCCUUUUGGCUAAGAUCAAGUGUAGUAUCUGUUCUUAUCAGUUUAAUAUCUGAUACCUGGAUUAUUGAUCCACAUGGUAUUAAAUUAAUUUUUAUAGGGGAAGAUCCCAUCACAAUAGCUUGCUAUUGGGGUUCUCAAGUGUCGUCUGUGUAUUGCACUACUGCACAGACCUGGCACACCCCUC
Molecule: small nuclear RNA, 196 nt
Organism: Hibiscus syriacus
Lineage: Eukaryota; Viridiplantae; Streptophyta; Magnoliopsida; Malvales; Malvaceae
Product: U2 spliceosomal RNA
Exons: 1
Source: RefSeq, a predicted model, not a curated record